This 588-nucleotide ribosomal RNA is filed under the name uncultured bacterium. RNAcentral describes it as "partial 16S ribosomal RNA". It matches the Rfam family "Bacterial small subunit ribosomal RNA", at positions 355 to 1375 of the family's 1533-position model. The record is from RNAcentral.
UGGGGAAUUUUGGACAAUGGGCGAAAGCCUGAUCCAGCAAUGCCGCGUGUGUGAAGAAGGCCUUCGGGUUGUAAAGCACUUUUGUCCGGAAAGAAAUCCUUGGCUCUAAUACAGUCGGGGGAUGACGGUACCGGAAGAAUAAGCACCGGCUAACUACGUGCCAGCAGCCGCGGUAAUACGUAGGGUGCAAGCGUUAAUCGGAAUUACUGGGCGUAAAGCGUGCGCAGGCGGUUUGCUAAGACCGAUGUGAAAUCCCCGGGCUCAACCUGGGAACUGCAUUGGUGACUGGCAGGCUAGAGUAUGGCAGAGGGGGGUAGAAUUCCACGUGUAGCAGUGAAAUGCGUAGAGAUGUGGAGGAAUACCGAUGGCGAAGGCAGCCCCCUGGGCCAAUACUGACGCUCAUGCACGAAAGCGUGGGGAGCAAAACAGGAUUAGAUACCCUGGUAGUCCACGCCCUAAAACGAUGUCAACUAGUUGUUGGGGAUUCAUUUCCUUAGUAACGUAGCUAACGCGUGAAGUUGACCGCCUGGGGAGUACGGUCGCAAGAUUAAAAACUUAAAGGAAUUGACGGGGUCAUAGCUGUUUCCU